CACAGUAUAUUUCGUAGGAAGGAAGUGGUCUGGUUUAUGUGAUCACGCCCACGUAUAUACGUAACGUUCCUGUGUGAAGUAAGUGUGUGUGCGCGUGAGAAGCUCGUGAACUUGAAAAGCAGGGAUGGCAACGUUUGAAGCCUUUAAAGCAUAGUUCGAAUUACGAGGGGUACUGGGGGGUACUAUACCCCCCAAUGAAGACCCAGUACCCCCCAAAGAGACAAAAAUCUAAGUUUUGGGGGGGUCCGAUAUUUUUUCUGAUAUUGUGAAAAGGAAUAUAUAAUUCAAACCAACUCCCAUUCAGCAUUCUUAUUGUAGGAACAUUUUAAUGUAAAUCGAUUUCAGACAGACACCCCUAUUAUGGACCGUACCAUUUUUAGUCACCGCAGCGCUAGAACGCGCUAGAAGCAACACCUUCUAGUCCACACCGUAUUCAGUGGAUUCCUCAGAUACAGUCCAUGGGUUUGCAGCAAUUUAUACAAUCUAUGGUUUGCAGCAGAAGACGUGCAUUGAGUUAUUGUGUUGAGUUACUGACACGGACUUCCAUAGACGGGACGGGACCGGGGGACGAUUGAUAUGAUAGUGGACCAUGAUGGUACCCCCCAAUUAUGGUGGGGUAAUUCGCACUCUGCUUUAAAGUUUGCUCGGUGAAGGAUAAAGUGGCGGUAAUCACGGGAGCGAGUUCGGGUAUCAGAGCUGGAACUGCGCUUCUCUUCGCCAGACUCGG
Long non-coding RNA from Neoarius graeffei (lesser salmon catfish), 727 nucleotides. RefSeq lists it as uncharacterized. The transcript is spliced from 3 exons. Lineage: Eukaryota; Metazoa; Chordata; Actinopteri; Siluriformes; Ariidae. The record is from RefSeq and is a predicted model, not a curated record.